GUCACGACUGACACCAUGGGCUCCACCCACGACACGUCUGCAGCUGCACCGGGCCCGCAGGACAGGGAAAAGACGAGCAACGAGGAAAGGUGAACGCUUACAAGUGGACCAGUUGGGUGUGUGUGUGUGUGAGCUGGCAUGCGUGCCGGUGAGGCGUGGUUAUAUGGCGUGGCCUGUAUGCCGCAAGGGGAUUAUCAAUUAUUGUAUCCAAACAGAUCUAGAAGAGAAGCUGAUCUUCUCCUUCCUUCGGCACCCUCUCCUUCCCUGAUCCACCUACUACUCCUUCUCUCUUCCUCCUAGAUCCUGAUCGGGUACGUUACAAGUGGUAUCAGAGGUCAGCCAUCCUGGAAACAGCCUACCCCCGGCCGCGGUACACCACCAAACAAGCCCAGAAGACAGCGGCGAUGGAGGAACAGCUUGCGGCGCUGAUCCAGUCCGUCAACGAGGGGCGCGCCGCCAGCGACGCCAAGUUGGAGGCGAUCCAGCAGUCUAUCAAGCUGUGGCGACCGGCGGUCUCCAACCCGCAACAUCAGCUAGAUGAGCUUCGAUCUCAGGUCGGCAAAAUCGCCCUGCAUCCAGCGCUCGCGGAUCCAGACACGACGGCGGCGUCAUCGUCCGCGGCGCGACGGGCGGCGCCUCAACCUAGCGCUGGCAUCGGCCACCAUGGGCCCGCUGGCCACGGCGAGAUCCACGACUCCGGAGGCUCGGUACACGGGGUGGUCACCACCCUGGAACCGCCUCCGGUCACGGGUGCGUUUCAUUCCCCUGUUGCUUCUACAUCUAGAGAGUUGGCGUUGGGUGCUGUCGCUGAACACUCAUCACCACAUGGCGCACAGCACAGCCACUGGGUUCUGCCUAAAUUGGAUUUCCCCCAAUUCGAUGGGGAUAAUCCACAAUUUUGGCGGAUCAAGUGUGAGAAGUAUUUCGAUGUAUAUGGAGUCCAUCCAGAAUUGUGGGUUCAUGUCGCCACACUGCACUUCACCAGCAACGCCGCGCGUUGGCUGCAGCUGCAUGAUCUGAGCACUAGAUCAUUUACUUGGGAAAAAUUAUGUGAGUCUCUUUGCAGUAAGUUCGGACGCGACCAAUAUCAGGCGCAGCUUCGUCAGUUUGCCGCACUCUGCCAAACUGGGUCAGUCACAGAAUAUAUGAAUCAUUUUGAAGAGAUGAUGCACCAAUUGCUUGCACACAAUGCGGGAUUUGAUCCCCUUUACUUUACCACUAAAUUCCUAGAUGGCCUGCGUGCUGAAAUUCGUGCUGGGGUAGUACUGCAUCGACCACAAGAAUUGGAUACUGCCUUUUCCUUGGCUCUGUUGCAGGAGGAGAUUUUGGAGGCAUUGCCACAUCGCGAGUACCGGCGUCUGGAGGGUGCUCCCGGGCGAGCUCCGACGCGCCCACUGCUGGCUAAUGUCGUGCCACCCGCGCGCGUUCCACUGCCCGUUCCACAAGCUGCGGCGGAGGAUCGUCGCGGCCUCGACGCGGCUCGCGCUGGCGACCACCGACAAGACCAAGGGUGUGGCAAUGACCGAAUUGCGGCGCUGCGUAACUAUCGCCGUGCGCGAGGGCUUUGCUUUAAAUGUGGGGAGCGCUGGGGGCAAGGCCACCAGUGCGCUGCCACGGUACAGCUGCAUAUUGUGGAGGAACUACUCGACCUAUUGCAAGCCGAUGACAGAGAUCAGCAAGUGCAAGAGCAAGUGGCAGAAGAAGAGGAGCAGAUUAUGUCCAUUUCAAAACUGGCAACGACGGGGCAGACGACUCCGCGAACAGUUCGUUUGCUGGGGCUGAUUGAUGACCAGGAAGUGCUAAUUCUGGUUGAUUCUAGAAGCUCUCACAGCUUCAUCAGCGAGGCGGUAGCGGACAGAUUUGCCAACAGAAUCAGUAAGAUGACUCCAGUUUCAGUUAAGGUGGCGGAUGGUGGACUGUUGUCGUGCUCAGGUUACAUCAAGCAGUGCCAAUGGAGCACUUAGGGGCAUGAGUUUGUCACGGACCUGCGGGUAUUGUCACUCGGGUGUUACGACAUGGUCAUCGGCAUGGACUGGCUAGAGAGUUGUGGGCCUAUGCUCGUGGACUGGACAAAGAAAACAUUGAAAUUCCAACAGGAUGGGUGCGACGUUCAGUUGCAAGGGUUGUGUCCGGACAUUCAGCAGAUGGCACAAAUUUCAGCAGCACAGUUGGAUGAUCUAGAAAUGACCAACUCUAUCGUACACGUAGUUCUGCUCUAUACAGCGGAGCAACAAAAUGACCAGCCACCGAUUCCAGCUCGACUGCAACAAGUUUUGGACAGGUUUCAAGCAGUGUUUGAUGAGCCUUCAGAGCUUCCGAAGCAGAAACCAUGGGAUCAUGCGAUUCCCCUCAUGGCAGGCACAAAGCCAGUAAACAUCCGCCCAUAUCGAUAUACUCCGGAGCAGAAAGAUGAAAUCGAAGCCCAAGUGAAGGAAAUGCUAAAAAAAGGGCUCAUUACGCCAAGUGCCAGUCCCUUCGCGUCGCCUGUUCUGCUAGUCAAAAAGAAGGAUCUAACCUGGCGCUUCUGUGUCGACUUCAGGCAUUUGAAUGCCAUUACUAUCAAGGCGCGCUACCCCAUGCCGGUGAUAGAUGAGCUAUUGGAUGAGCUUGCCGGCUCGCGUUGGUUCUCCAAGCUAGAUCUACGCGCUGGUUACCAUCAGAUCCGUCUCCGCCCCGAGGACGAGUACAAGACAGCCUUCAAGACUCACCAAGGGCAGUUUCAGUUCCGAGUGUUGCCCUAUGGUGUGACAAGCGGACCACCUACAUUCCAAGGAGUUAUCAAUAUAGUGUUGUCCCCAUUAUUGCGCCACGGUGUGUUGGUGUUUAUGGACGACAUCCUCAUUCAUUCCGCCACCCUAGACGAGCACGAGAUUUUGUUGACGCAAGUGCUACAAUUACUCAAGGAGAAUGAACUGUUUGCCAAACGAUCCAAAUGCACCUUCGCACAACAAAAAAUCCAUUAUCUUGGUCAUGUGAUCAGCCAGCAAGGGGUGGCAACAGAUGACAGUAAGGUGGAGGCCGUCAGAGAUUGGCCAGUGCCAGACUCCGUCAAGAAAUUGCGAGGAUUCUUAGGCCUUGCGGGAUAUUACAGGAAGUUUGUGAGAAACUUUGGGGUUCUUAGCAAGCCAUUGACAGAUCUGCUACGCAAAGGAGUGGUGUUCGUGUGGACACCAACAGCUAAUGAGGCAUUCUGUGCCCUAAAACAAGCUCUGAUUGUAGCGCCGGUGCUAGCACUACCUGAUUUUGCAAAACAAUUCAUUGUCGAGACGGAUGCGAGCGCUACAGGCAUUAGCGCCGUAUUGAUGCAGGAGUUCCAUCCCAUCGCGUACCUGAGUAAGGCCUUGGCACCGAAGAACUUGGGGCUCUCCGCAUACGAGAAAGAAUGUUUGGCUUUAUUGCUGGCAAUCGACCAUUGGCGUCCGUAUUUGCAGCAUGCAGAGUUCGUCAUCCGCACUGACCAGAAAAGUUUGCUGCACCUUACCGAUCAAAGGCUCAACACACCAAUCCAGCAGCGUGCAUUCACAAAGUUAAUCGGGCUCCAGUACUCAAUUCAGUACAACGCGGGGCAGUUAAACAGAGCUGCGGAUGCACUAUCUCGUCGUGAUCAUCCUGACGAGGUGUCGGCUAUGGCAUUGUCGGUUUGCAAACCAGUGUGGUUGGAGGCUAUCAGCAGUAGCUACCACGAGGAUCUAUCGGCCAAGACCUUAAUGACACAACUAGCCGUCGAUCCCACCAGUGAGCCUGACUAUCAGUUGCAAGGAGGCAUUCUGCGUUUCAAAGGCAGAGUGUGGGUAGGGAGCCAUGAGGAAACGCAACUCCAGAUUAUCCGAGCACUACACGCUAGUGCUGCUGGGGGGCACUCUGGGUUCCAUGCCACCUACAACAGGGUCAAGAGACUGUUUGCUUGGAAGGGUUCUAAACAACAACUGAAGACUUUUGUCCAACAGUGCCUAGUAUGCCAGCGAGCAAAAACAGAGCGCAGCUCACCAGCUGGGUUGCUACAGCCACUCCCCAUUCCACAACGGCCAUGGGCGGUGAUAUCUCUGGAUUUUAUCGAAGGAUUACCCAAGUCCGGAGGCUACAAUGCAAUUUUGGUGGUGGUCGAUAAGUUUUCCAAAUACGCCCAUUUUAUCCCACUGACACACCCUUUUACAGCUCUCGACGUGGCCAAAGUGUUCAUGCAGGAGAUCUUUAAGUUGCAUGGCCUGCCGCUGGGCAUCAUAUCUGAUACCGCAUCUUCACCAGCCAAGUGUGGCAGGAAUUGUUCAAACUGUGUCGCACAGAGAUGAACAUGAGCUCCUCGUACCACCCGCAGACGGACGGGCAAACAGAGCGGGUCAACCAGUGCUUGGAAACGUAUUUGCGAUGCUCGGUGCAUUCAUGUCCUGGGAAUUGGGCCAAAUGGCUGGCACUCGCCGAGUAUUGGUAUAACACUUGCUUCCACUCGGCUUUGGGUCGCACUCCAUUUGAGGUGAUAUAUGGACAUUUGCCUAGGGAAUUUGGCAUCGCCUCGGUGGACAGCAGUACAGUACCUGAUCUAGCUGCCUGGCUGAAAGAAAGAGAAGUGCUCAUUGAACACCUACAGCAGCAACUGAAGAAGGCCCAGGAUAGAAUGAAGGCUCAAGCGGAUCGGCAUCGCACGGACAGAUCAUUUGAAGUAGGGGACAUGGUAUUGCUCAAGCUGCAGCCAUUCAUCCAAACGUCGGUGGCUCGCCGCCCAUUUCAGAAACUUGCCUUCCGUUACUAUGGUCCGUAUGAGGUGCUGGCAAAGGUCGGAGCAGCGGCGUAUCGCCUGAAGUUACCCGACGACAGUAGAAUCCAUCCGGUGGUGCAUGUGUCCCUGCUCAAGCGUGCGAUGGGCGCUGAGGUUCCGGUAAAUGCUGAUCUUCCUCCCACUAAUGCAGUGUUACAGGCGGAGCAGGUGCCGAAGCGUAUCCUGGACCAGAAGAAGAUUUCCAAGCAUGGCGUCGAGCAUCAACGUGUGCUGGUGCAAUGGGGGGAGCUCCCUGCGUCCUUGUCCACAUGGGAGGAUCUGGCUCAGCUGCGGCAGCAGUUCCCAACAACGCNNNNNNNNNNNNNNNNNNNNNNNNNNNNNNNNNNNNNNNNNNNNNNNNNNNNNNNNNNNNNNNNNNNNNNNNNNNNNNNNNNNNNNNNNNNNNNNNNNNNNNNNNNNNNNNNNNNNNNNNNNNNNNNNNNNNNNNNNNNNNNNNNNNNNNNNNNNNNNNNNNNNNNNNNNNNNNNNNNNNNNNNNNNNNNNNNNNNNNNNNNNNNNNNNNNNNNNNNNNNNNNNNNNNNNNNNNNNNNNNNNNNNNNNNNNNNNNNNGAGCUGGCAUGCGUGCCGGUGAGGCGUGGUUAUAUGGCGUGGCCUGUAUGCCGCAAGGGGAUUAUCAAUUAUUGUAUCCAAACAGAUCUAGAAGAGAAGCUGAUCUUCUCCUUCCUUCGGCACCCUCUCCUUCCCUGAUCCACCUACUACUCCUUCUCUCUUCCUCCUAGAUCCUGAUCGGGUACGUUACAGACGCGCUGGCCAUGGCUUCCCCUCGCCAUCGCCAGGACGG
RNAcentral lists this long non-coding RNA (5555 nucleotides) under Triticum aestivum (bread wheat). RNAcentral's name for it is "long non-coding RNA (TAES_LNC009133)". Lineage: Eukaryota; Viridiplantae; Streptophyta; Magnoliopsida; Poales; Poaceae. The record is from RNAcentral.